Molecule: long non-coding RNA, 203 nt
Filed under: Elaeis guineensis (African oil palm)
Lineage: Eukaryota; Viridiplantae; Streptophyta; Magnoliopsida; Arecales; Arecaceae
Description: long non-coding RNA (EGUI_LNC061108)
Source: RNAcentral
GACCGCUCGUAGUAGAAAUUUGAAGUAGACCGCUUGUAGUAGAAGCUCGGGGUAGGUCAUUUGCGGUAGAAGUUCGGAGUCCGACCUUUGUAGGAGUUCGGAUGAGGUCACCUGCAAUAGGAGUUCUGGGCGGAAGCCCAGUUCCCGUAGGAGUCCGAAUGAAGACUACCUGCGGCUGGAGUCGGGGAUGAAGUCCGGCUCCC